GAUGAAGAACGCAGCGAAAUGCGAUAAGUAAUGUGAAUUGCAGAAUUCAGUGAAUCAUCGAAUCUUUGAACGCAUCUUGCGCUCCUUGGUAUUCCGGAAGGCAUGCCUGUUCGAGCGUCAUCUCAACCCUCGAGCCCCCCCGGGGGCUCGGCGUUGGGGACCGGCCCCGCCCCAGGGCGCGCCGCCCCCCAAAUCCAGUGGCGGUCCCGCCGCAGCCUCCCCUGCGCAGUAGCUUGCACACUCGCACCGGAGAGCGGCGCGGCCACGCCGUAAAACCCCCCGACCACGGAGCCCCGGGUCCUGAACGUUGACCUCGGAUCAGGUAGGAAUACCCGCUGAACUUAAGCAUAUCAAUAAGCGGACGA
Molecule: unclassified non-coding RNA, 365 nt
Filed under: soil metagenome
Description: partial contains 5.8S ribosomal RNA, internal transcribed spacer 2, and large subunit ribosomal RNA
Rfam family: 5.8S ribosomal RNA (bases 1-120)
Source: RNAcentral